GAUGAACGCUGACAGAAUGCUUAACACAUGCAAGUCAACUUGAACUUCGGUUUGGGUGGCGGACGGGUGAGUAACGCGUAAAGAACUUGCCUCACAGAUAGGGACAACAUUUGGAAACGAAUGCUAAUACCUGAUAUUAUGAUUAUAUGGCAUCGUAUAAUUAUGAAAGCUAUAUGCGCUGUGAGAGAGCUCUGCGUCCCAUUAGCUAGUUGGAGAGGUAACGGCUCACCAAGGCGAUGAUGGGUAGCCGGCCUGAGAGGGUGAUCGGCCACAAGGGGACUGAGACACGGCCCUUACUCCUACGGGAGGCAGCAGUGGGGAAUAUUGGACAAUGGACCAAGAGUCUGAUCCAGCAAUUCUGUGUGCACGAUGAAGUUUUUCGGAAUGUAAAGUGCUUUCAGUUGGGAAGAAAAAAAUGACGGUACCAACAGAAGAAGUGACGGCUAAAUACGUG
RNAcentral lists this ribosomal RNA (454 nucleotides) under uncultured bacterium. RNAcentral describes it as "partial 16S ribosomal RNA". It matches the Rfam family "Bacterial small subunit ribosomal RNA", at positions 28 to 507 of the family's 1533-position model. The record is from RNAcentral.